GACGAACGCUGGCGGCGUGCUUAACACAUGCAAGUCGAACGGUAAGGCCCUUCGGGGUACACGAGUGGCGAACGGGUGAGCAACACGUGGGUGAUCUGCCCUGCACUUCGGGAUAAGCCUGGGAAACUGGGUCCAAUACCGGAUAGGACCCUGGGAUGCAUGUCCUGGGGUGGAAAGCUUUUGCGGUGUGGGAUGGGCCCGCGGCCUAUCAGCUUGUUGGUGGGGUGAUGGCCUACCAAGGCGACGACGGGUAGCCGGCCUGAGAGGGUGACCGGCCACACUGGGACUGGGAUACGGCCCAGACUCCUACGGGAGGCAGCAGUGGGGAAUAUUGCACAAUGGGCGCAAGCCUAAUGCAGCGACGCCGCGUGAGGGAUGACGGCCUUCGGGUUGUAAACCUCUUUCAGCACCGACGAAGCGCAAGUGACGGUAGGUGCAGAAGAAGGACCGGCUAACUUCGUGCCAGCCGCCGCGGUAA
This 478-nucleotide ribosomal RNA is filed under the name uncultured bacterium. RNAcentral's name for it is "partial 16S ribosomal RNA". It matches the Rfam family "Bacterial small subunit ribosomal RNA", at positions 28 to 523 of the family's 1533-position model. The record is from RNAcentral.